RNAcentral lists this ribosomal RNA (174 nucleotides) under Klebsiella pneumoniae. RNAcentral's name for it is "partial 16S ribosomal RNA". It matches the Rfam family "Bacterial small subunit ribosomal RNA", at positions 1360 to 1533 of the family's 1533-position model. Lineage: Bacteria; Pseudomonadati; Pseudomonadota; Gammaproteobacteria; Enterobacterales; Enterobacteriaceae. The record is from RNAcentral.
CGGUGAAUACGUUCCCGGGCCUUGUACACACCGCCCGUCACACCAUGGGAGUGGGUUGCACCAGAAGUAGCUAGUCUAACCUUCGGGAGGACGGUUACCACGGUGUGAUUCAUGACUGGGGUGAAGUCGUAACAAGGUAGCCGUAGGGGAACCUGCGGCUGGAUCACCUCCUUA